CAGGAACGGAAUCGGUUGAACUGGACAAGGCAAGGCCCAUCAUGUCCGAGGACGAAACGUUUCGGAAAAACAUCUCUGUGUCGUCGUUUGUACGGGAGCUUGACGAUGUGUACACACCGCCUCUCGUAUCCUUUGCCUUUGCCUUUACCUGU
RNAcentral lists this non-coding RNA (152 nucleotides) under Palpitomonas bilix. The record is from RNAcentral.